CCUGGGAUCACGACCUGAGCCAAAGGCAGAUGCUCAACCACUAAGCCACCAGGUGCCCCAAGAAUCACCUGGCCACUCUGUAGAAUGUGGAAGGAAGGGGUCAACGUGCUGUUCUGAAUGCUAUCACUUAAAAGGCAGUAUGGUGACUCUGGAGAAGGCUGCUUGAACUCUGAUUUGGGCUCUGCCACUGCCCAUCUAUAUGACCUUGGGAAAACUGCUUUACAUUUCUUAGACUCAGCUUCUUCAUUUAUAAAAUGAAGAAGGAACUGGCUUGGGAUGACCUAAAGCCUAUCUUGAUCUUUGGCAGCUUGGUAACAACCAACUUCUAAGGGCCAGGAUGCUGAGUCAGAGAUUCCUACAGGGCAGGAUCUACCUCAAACAAACCCAGGCUUGAGGGGCGUUUUCUGUGAAGACAUCAGGACCUGGCAGACAGACAACGUGGAAGCUAUCUAUUCGUGAGUGGAAUCAUACGGUAUUUGUCCUUUCCAGUCUAACUUAUUUCAUUUCGUGUAAUACUCUUUAGGUCUAUCCUAAAGUUGUCUCAAAUGGGACAAUCUCAUCCUUUUUGAAGGCCGUGUAAUAUUCGUGUGUGUGUGUGUACGUGUGUAUCACAUUUUCCUUACCCAUUCAUCUAUCGAGAGAUACUUAGGUUGCUUCCAUGU
Molecule: long non-coding RNA, 662 nt
Organism: Canis lupus familiaris (dog)
Lineage: Eukaryota; Metazoa; Chordata; Mammalia; Carnivora; Canidae
Exons: 5
Source: RefSeq, a predicted model, not a curated record